UGGGGAAUAUUGCACAAUGGCGGAAGCCAUGACUGCAGCGACGCCGCGUGAGGGAUGACGGCCUUCGGGUUGUAAACCUCUUUCAGUAGGGAAGAAGCGAAAGUGACGGUACCUGCAGAAGAAGCGCCGGCUAACUACGUGCCAGCAGCCGCGGUAAUACGUAGGGCGCAAGCGUUAUCCGGAAUUAUUGGGCGUAAAGAGCUCGUAGGCGGUUUGUCGCGUCUGCCGUGAAAGUCCGAGGCUCAACCUCGGAUCUGCGGUGGGUACGGGCAGACUAGAGUGAUGUAGGGGAGACUGGAAUUCCUGGUGUAGCGGUGAAAUGCGCAGAUAUCAGGAGGAACACCGAUUGGCGAAGGCAGGUCUCUGGGCA
Molecule: ribosomal RNA, 370 nt
Filed under: uncultured Micrococcaceae bacterium
Lineage: Bacteria; Bacillati; Actinomycetota; Actinomycetes; Micrococcales; Micrococcaceae
Description: bacterial SSU rRNA
Rfam family: Bacterial small subunit ribosomal RNA
Source: RNAcentral